Molecule: ribosomal RNA, 1338 nt
Filed under: Jubabaetis sp. BYU IGCEP139
Lineage: Eukaryota; Metazoa; Arthropoda; Insecta; Ephemeroptera; Baetidae
Description: partial 28S ribosomal RNA
Rfam family: Eukaryotic large subunit ribosomal RNA
Source: RNAcentral
UUGACCCGUCUUGAAGCACGGACCAAGGAGUCCAGCAUGCGCGCGAGUCGACGGGACGCACUAGACCCGAAGGCGUAUUGAACGAAAAGGCCCGCCUCGCGCGGGCUUAGGGGAGAUGGCGGCCUCCGGGCCGCCCGCACCCCCGGGGCGUCUCGAUCUACCGCCGCAAGGCGGAAGGCGAGGCGCACCUAGAGCGCGCACGCUGGGACCCGAAAGAUGGUGAACUAUGCCUGGCCAGGACGAAGUCAGGGGAAACCCUGAUGGAGGUCCGUAGCGAUUCUGACGUGCAAAUCGAUCGUCAGAGCUGGGUAUAGGGGCGAAAGACUAAUCGAACCAUCUAGUAGCUGGUUCCCUCCGAAGUUUCCCUCAGGAUAGCUGGCGCCCGUGGACCGAGUCCCAUCCGGUAAAGCGAAUGAUUAGAGGCCUUGGGGUCGAAACGACCUCAACCUAUUCUCAAACUUUAAAUGGGUGGGAUCCGCGGCUUUUUUGAACGUGAAGCCGCGGGCCGGAUCAGGGUGCCAAGUGGGCCACUUUUGGUAAGCAGAACUGGCGCUGUGGGAUGAACCAAACGCCCGGUUAAGGCGCCCGAACCGACGCUCAUUGGAAACCAUGAAAGGUGUUGGUUGCUUAAGACAGCAGGACGGUGGCCAUGGAAGUCGGAAUCCGCUAAGGAGUGUGUAACAACUCACCUGCCGAAGCAACUAGCCCUGAAAAUGGAUGGCGCUGAAGCGUCGUGCCUAUACCGGGCCGUCGGGGCAGAGGGCGCGGGCAACCGCGCUGCGAAGCCCCGAUGAGUAGGAGGGUCGCGACGGUGAGCGCAGAAGGGUCUGGGCGCGAGCCCGCCUGGAGCCGCCGUCGGUGCAGAUCUUGGUGGUAGUAGCAAAUACUCCAGCGAGGCCCUGGAGGACUGAUGUGGAGAAGGGUUCCGUGUGAACAGCCGUUGCACACGGGUCAGUCGAUCCUAAGCCCUAGGAGAAAUCCGAUGUUGAUGGAUAGCGGGACGUCGCGGCGAGAGCUUCGAGCACCCCGUCCGUCGGGCGAAAGGGAAUCCGGUUCCUAUUCCGGAACCCGGUUGCGGAACCGCACUCACGAUCCUCGUAUUGACACGGUAACGUGAAUGACCCCAGAGAUGCCGUCUGGAGCCCCGGGAAGAGUUUUCUUUUCUGCAUGAGCGUUCGGGUUCCAUGGAAUCCUCUAGCAGGGAGAUAUGGAAUGGAGCGCAAAGAGCACCGCAGUUGCUGCGGUGUCCGGGGAGUCCCGUCGGCCCUUGAAAAUCUGGGUGAGGGUCACGUGGAGUCGCCGCACCGGUUCGUACCCAUAUCCGCAGCAGUCUCCAAG